AGCUUUGCGCAGUGGCGGUAUCGUAGCCAGUGAGGUUUAUCCGAGGUGUGAUUAUUGCUAAUUGAAAACUUUUCCCAAUACCCCACCAUGACGACUUGAAAUAUAGUUGGCGUUGGCAAUUUUUGGCAGUCUCUACGGGGA
RNAcentral lists this small nuclear RNA (141 nucleotides) under Aotus nancymaae (Ma's night monkey). RNAcentral's name for it is "U4 spliceosomal RNA (ENSANAG00000007453.1)". It matches the Rfam family "U4 spliceosomal RNA". From Rfam's summary of the family: U4 small nuclear RNA (U4 snRNA) is a component of the major U2-dependent spliceosome. Lineage: Eukaryota; Metazoa; Chordata; Mammalia; Primates; Aotidae. The record is from Rfam by way of RNAcentral.